ACGAACGCUGGCGGCGUGCCUAAUACAUGCCAGUAGAACGCUGAAGAGAGGAGCUUGCUCUUCUUGGAUGAGUUGCGAACGGGUGAGUAACGCGUAGGUAACCUGCCUUGUAGCGGGGGAUAACUAUUGGAAACGAUAGCUAAUCCCGCAUAACAAUGGAUGACACAUGUCAUUUAUUUGAAAGGGGCAAUUGCUCCACUACAAGAUGGACCUGCGUUGUAUUAGCUAGUAGGUGAGGUAAUGGCUCACCUAGGCGACGAUACAUAGCCGACCUGAGAGGGUGAUCGGCCACACUGGGACUGAGACACGGCCCAGACUCCUACGGGAGGCAGCAGUAGGGAAUCGUCGGCAAUGGGGGCAACCCUGACCGAGCAACGCCGCGUGAGUGAAGAAGGUUGUCGGAUCGUAAAGCUCUGUUGUAAGUCAAGAACGGGUGUGAGAGUGGAAAGUUCACACUGUGACGGUAGCUUACCAGAAAGGGACGGCUAACUACGUG
This 496-nucleotide ribosomal RNA is filed under the name uncultured bacterium. RNAcentral describes it as "partial 16S ribosomal RNA". It matches the Rfam family "Bacterial small subunit ribosomal RNA", at positions 29 to 507 of the family's 1533-position model. The record is from RNAcentral.